This 1222-nucleotide ribosomal RNA is filed under the name Sphingobacterium sp. M_1. Its description in RNAcentral is "partial 16S ribosomal RNA". Lineage: Bacteria; Pseudomonadati; Bacteroidota; Sphingobacteriia; Sphingobacteriales; Sphingobacteriaceae. The record is from RNAcentral.
CCACUCGUUGGACGGGUAUAGUUCCCAUAUCGGGCUUCUUUAAGCCUAAUUGUGGCGUAUUCUAAUAUCAAGGCGUACCCUGUCAUUAAUUUAUAAAUAUCCUAUACCUACCCGAGCGCACUGUAAUCGAUCAACCAUCCCAUUGCCGAAUGGUUCCGAUGCUACAGAUCCCCGAGACUCUCCUCUUAGGGGGUGUGACCAUGACUCUGUGCCUGGUCUGAGGAUGCCCUCCGUCGUCAUUCCUUAUAACCAGUUACCUCCCUUGAGACUUGGUCGGUACGGCGCACGUCCUACUGACGGGAUACCCAACAUUUGACGAAAACAGUCCCUUAUUUGGAAAGAUGCACAUCCUUCGACUUACAUGGACUUCUUAUUCCUAGCCGAUUGAGGCACGGUCGUCGGCGCCAUUAUGCCUCCUAGGCUCGCAAUAGGCCUAAAUAACCCAAAUUUCCCACGCAUCCGCCGAAUAAUUCAGUCCCCACUUUAUGCCGUCGAGUUGACAGCGUCACGGAAACUAUGACUAUUCGAACUUACACCAACUUCUACCGCCUUACUCUGUUCAUCGCCACUUUACGUAUCUAUACAGAGUCUUGAGGCUAACGCUUCCGUCGAUAGAUUCGGUAAUAACUGCGACUACGUGCUUUCGCACCCCUAGUUUGUCCUAAUCUAUGGGACCAUCAGGUGCGGGAUUUGCUACUAUUGAGCUACAAUCGCUAUGUGUCAAUCGCAGAAUCGCUUUCGCAAUUCAAUAGGUGGACCCCUCAUGCGGGCGUUCCCACUUUGAGUUUCCUUAACUGCCCCCGGGCGUGUUCGCCUCCUCGUACACCAAAUUAAGCUACUAUGCGCUCCUUGGAAUGGGCCCGAACUUUCAAUCACUUACUAGGUCUCUGCCUAGUCAGGAAGCCCUGUGCUUUGAUCCACGACGUACCGACAGCAGUCGAGCACGGCACUCCACAACCCAAUUCAGGGCGUUGCUCGCGUUGGGGAUACAAAUCAACGGUCGUACAUUACUACCCCUGAGAUUUGUCUGACGGACGCAUUCGUCACUCCUUCCACCCCUGCUGCAGUUCAGUAGUACCGGGAAUGCAGGCCCCGAUGUGUGCACGAUGUUACCUACCAUGUCGCCCGUCGAUGUGUCGUUACACUACGGUUAGAGCUUUUCGGUAAGUGUCAAGCCUAGCCCCAGACGUUGAGCUGGGGCACUUCAACCUAAGCGAUCAUU